AACGCGUGGGAACGUACCCUUCACUACGGAAUAGUCCCGGGAAACUGGGUUUAAUACCGUAUACGCCCUUCGGGGGAAAGAAUUUCGGUGAGGGAUCGGCCCGCGUUAGAUUAGUUAGUUGGUGGGGUAAUGGCCUACCAAGACUACGAUCUAUAGCUGGUUUGAGAGGAUGAUCAGCAACACUGGGACUGAGACACGGCCCAGACUCCUACGGGAGGCAGCAGUGGGGAAUCUUAGACAAUGGGGGCAACCCUGAUCUAGCGAUGCCGCGUGAGUGAUGAAGGCCUUAGGGUCGUAAAGCUCUUUCGCCUGUGAUGAUAAUGACAGUAGCAGGUAAAGAAACCCCGGCUAACUCCGUGCCAGCAGCCGCGGUAAUACGGAGGGGGUUAGCGUUGUUCGGAAUUACUGGGCGUAAAGCGCACGUAGGCGGAUUAGUCAGUCAGAGGUGAAAUCCCAGGGCUCAACCCUGGAACUGCCUUUGAUACUGCUAGUCUUGAGUUCGAGAGAGGUAAGUGGAAUUCCGAGUGUAGAGGU
Molecule: ribosomal RNA, 534 nt
Filed under: Celeribacter sp.
Lineage: Bacteria; Pseudomonadati; Pseudomonadota; Alphaproteobacteria; Rhodobacterales; Roseobacteraceae
Description: bacterial SSU rRNA
Rfam family: Bacterial small subunit ribosomal RNA
Source: RNAcentral